AGAGAGAGACAUGCGCGCAUAUCAAUAAGCGGAGGAAAAGAAACUAACAAGGAUUCCCUUAGUAACGGCGAGUGAAGCGGGAAGAGCUCAAAUUUGAAAUCUUCAAGGUUUUACCUUGACGAAUUGUAGUUUAAGGAAGUGUUUUCUGCUGAAGUUUUGGUAAAAGUUCUUUGGAAUAGGACAUCAUAGAGGGUGAGAAUCCCGUAUUUGACCAUUAUUUUCCAGCUUUGUGAUACACUUUCAAAGAGUCGGAUUGUUUGGGAAUGCAGUCCAAAAUGGGUGGUAAAUUUCAUCUAAAGCUAAAUAUUGGCGAGAGACCGAUAGCGAACAAGUACCGUGAGGGAAAGAUGAAAAGAACUUUGAAAAGAGAGUUAAACAGUACGUGAAAUUGUCAAAAGGGAAGCGUUUGACACCAGUGUUGUUUUCUCGAAAAUCAAUUAAAAAUGGCUCGAUUUUGUAUUGUUGAGACCUUAAAAGCUCACUGUACAUUUUUCGUGUCUUUUUUAAUGCACUUUUCGUUUAACAAGUCAACAUCAGUUUCUUUUGUUGUAAAAGGGUCAUUGGAAGGUGGCUUUCUUUUCGGAGAAAGUGUUUAUAGCCUUUGGCCUCUGCAAUCGGAGAGACUGAGGUCUGCAGCGUAGACUCUUCGGGGUUAGAUACAUUUGUGCUAAGUUAUAGCUUUUUAUAGACAACUUGUUGACUAUAAUUAGUCUUGUAGCUUACUCGCUUAUGCUAUUUUACCUACGCUUAGGAUGUUGAGUCGUAGAGCACGCAG
This 775-nucleotide ribosomal RNA is filed under the name uncultured Neocallimastigales. RNAcentral's name for it is "partial large subunit ribosomal RNA". It matches the Rfam family "Eukaryotic large subunit ribosomal RNA", at positions 23 to 634 of the family's 3401-position model. Lineage: Eukaryota; Fungi; Neocallimastigomycota; Neocallimastigomycetes; Neocallimastigales. The record is from RNAcentral.